This 460-nucleotide ribosomal RNA is filed under the name uncultured bacterium. RNAcentral's name for it is "partial 16S ribosomal RNA". It matches the Rfam family "Bacterial small subunit ribosomal RNA", at positions 338 to 795 of the family's 1533-position model. The record is from RNAcentral.
CCUACGGGAGGCAGCAGUGAGGAAUAUUGGUCAAUGGGCGGAAGCCUGAACCAGCCAAGUAGCGUGCAGGACGACGGCUCUAUGAGUUGUAAACUGCUUUUGUACGAGGGUAAACUCAGAUACGCGUCUCUGUCUGAAAGUAUCGUACGAAUAAGGAUCGGCUCACUCCGUGCCAGCAGCCGCGGUAAUACGGAGGAUUCAAGCGUUAUCCGGAUUUAUUGGGUUUAAAGGGUGCGUAGGCGGUCGGAUAAGUUAGAGGUGAAAUCCCGAGGCUCAACUUCGGAAUUGCCUCUGAUACUGUUCGGCUAGAGAGUAGGUGCGGUAGGCGGAAUGUAUGGUGUAGCGGGGAAAUGCUUAGAGAUCAUACAGAACACCGAGUGCGAAGGCAGCUUACUAAGCUACUUCUGACGUUGAGGCACGAAAGCGUGGGGAGCAAACAGGAUUAGAUACCCUGGUAGUC